Molecule: ribosomal RNA, 490 nt
Filed under: uncultured bacterium
Lineage: Bacteria
Description: partial 16S ribosomal RNA
Rfam family: Bacterial small subunit ribosomal RNA
Source: RNAcentral
AGUGAACGCUGGCGGCAGGCCUAACACAUGCAAGUCGAACGGCAGCACAAGAGAGCUUGCUCUCUGGGUGGCGAGUGGCGGACGGGUGAGGAAUGCAUCGGAAUCUGCCCAUUUGUGGGGGAUAACCUCGGGAAACCGGGACUAAUACCGCAUACGACCUACGGGUGAAAGCAGGGGAUCUUCGGACCUUGCGCAGAUGGAUGAGCCGAUGCCGGAUUAGCUAGUUGGAGGGGUAAAGGCCCACCAAGGCGACGAUCCGUAGCUGGUCUGAGAGGAUGAUCAGCCACACUUGGACUGAGACACGGCCCAGACUCCUACGGGAGGCAGCAGUGGGGAAUAUUGGACAAUGGGCGCAAGCCUGAUCCAGCCAUGCCGCGUGUGUGAAGAAGGCCUUCGGGUUGUAAAGCACUUUUGUUGGGAAAGAAAAGCAGCCGGUUAAUACCCGGUUGUCAUGACGGUACCCAAAGAAUAAGCACCGGCUAACUUCGUG